UACGGUGAUCCUAGAAACCAACAAAAUAGGAUCGAACGUCCUAUUUCAUUAUUCCAUGCUAAUGUAUUCAGGCGUUAGCCUGCUUUAAACACUCUAAUUUUUUCAAAGUAACAGUCCAAAUUCCCCGCAACACCAAAUAAAUGGCAUUACGGAUCAUCAGGAAGGAGGAAUCAGUGAGACCAGUACAUACCAGUGGCAUGACCAACC
RNAcentral lists this unclassified non-coding RNA (207 nucleotides) under uncultured Glomeraceae. RNAcentral describes it as "sequence contains 18S rRNA gene". The record is from RNAcentral. Lineage: Eukaryota; Fungi; Glomeromycota; Glomeromycetes; Glomerales; Glomeraceae.